Molecule: long non-coding RNA, 246 nt
Organism: Eupeodes corollae
Lineage: Eukaryota; Metazoa; Arthropoda; Insecta; Diptera; Syrphidae
Exons: 2
Source: RefSeq, a predicted model, not a curated record
UGCUGAUAAAUUACUGUCGCUGUCAAAAAAACAAAUAAACGAAAAGCCUUAAAGCCAGAAGAAUAAAACGUGGGCGACAAAUAAAGAAUUUGUGGGCGAUAUAGAACAUCAUAAGGACUACCCCAAUGGCUCUGAUGAAAAGUCAAAUAUCAAACAAAAUCACAGCUUCAACAAAGAUAAAAAUGGAGCGGGAGCCGGUAGGUACGAGUAUUAUAUUGAUUCCAUCUGGCGCCAUCAAAUCAUUCU